RNAcentral lists this transfer RNA (72 nucleotides) under Ictidomys tridecemlineatus (thirteen-lined ground squirrel). RNAcentral's name for it is "Spermophilus tridecemlineatus (thirteen-lined ground squirrel) tRNA". It matches the Rfam family "tRNA". From Rfam's summary of the family: Transfer RNA (tRNA) molecules are approximately 80 nucleotides in length. Their secondary structure includes four short double-helical elements and three loops (D, anti-codon, and T loops). Lineage: Eukaryota; Metazoa; Chordata; Mammalia; Rodentia; Sciuridae. The record is from Rfam by way of RNAcentral.
GAGGGUGUGAUUCGGUGCUAGAGUGCUUGCCUAUCAUGUAAAAGGCCCUGGGUUCAAUACCCAGCACGUGCA